Long non-coding RNA from Vicia villosa (hairy vetch), 2859 nucleotides. RefSeq lists it as uncharacterized. NCBI's taxonomy places the organism in Eukaryota, Viridiplantae, Streptophyta, Magnoliopsida, Fabales, Fabaceae. The transcript is spliced from 2 exons. The record is from RefSeq and is a predicted model, not a curated record.
UAUCUAUCGUUUAGAAAGUUUUUGUAUAUUGUAUCCUACGGUUCCCGAUCAAUUUCGUUCUCCAUCCUCGAUAAACCUCGAUUUCCGUCUCUGAUCAAUCUCUCUCCGAUCACACCGUUUCCGAUCGAUCUCGUUCCCUUCCACGAUCAACCUUUUUCUCCGUCUCCGAUCAACCUUUUUCUCCGUCUCCGAUCAACCUCGUCUUCCCUCUUCGAUUUACCUUGUUCUCCUCCAUCACAAAUCGAUCUUGUCUUGCACAUUCUUUGAUUGAUUUCAUCUACUUCCUCAUCCUCUCUUUAUCUGAUAGAUCUACCUUUUUCCUCAUCCCAAUCUUUGGUAAUGGCUGGAUGUGCUUCUUUGAAAAUGAAGAUAGAGGUAUGUGUUCCGUUUUAUAUUUAAAGAUCUCACUUGACUAGUGUUGUUGCAUUUACUACUGUAAAUGAAGCUUCUAUAUAGAUAUUAGAAAGGCAUUGGUUUAGUUCAAAUAUAUGAUGACCUCUAUUAAAAAGGAUAUAAAUGAACUAUUAGAGUUUGGUGAUUUUUUCUACUAAUCACCUUAAACACUAUUGAGAGGAUGAAGUUUAAAUUGUAUAGUGUUAAAAUCUGAAAUAGAAUAUGAUCAAUGCGGUACCUACUUAGAGGAUGAAGUUUGAAUUGUUUUGUGUUAGAAUCUUAAAUAGAAGAUGAUGAACGUGGUUCCUACUUAGAGGAUGAAGUUUGAAUUGUUUAGUGUUAGGAUCUUAAAUAGAAGAUGAUCAAUGCGGUACCUACUGCUAUAUCAAAUUAGUAUGCAAGUUUAAAAUAUAAUCAAAUCAUACUAAACGACAUGUCAUCAGAGUUGUAAACUUAUAAUAGUAGUUCUAAUUAUAAUUUCCUUUUUUGAAUGUGUAUGCUAAUCAGUUUAGUUUUUUUUAGUGAAUAUCAGUUGAAUGCUUACUCUCACACAGCUCUCUACCACUUUACUUUUUUCCGCCGUUUCCUAUACGUUGAGUUUUUGCAAAAUAAAGUAAAAACACUCUAGUCAGCAUGGAGGUUCUUGAAGUAGCUUUGUUAUUAUGUUUUGUUUAUUGAUAAAAUCUACGAAAUAAAGAUUCUAAUAAAAAUCAAGAUGGACAUCAUAUAAUAAGAUACAUAGUUAGUUAAUUGAAACUACUAUCUUUUCAAUUAUAAUUUGUUUCUUCAUAAACUCUGUUGUGAGUUAAUGAGUGAUUGUUUGAACAUCUCUACUGAGACUUUUUAUGUCUCUUGUUUCUGAAAAAUUUGCCUUUGUUCUUUGCUGCAUAUAAAGGCUGGGAGUUAGAUACAUCAUCAAUAACUUUAAUUGUUGGAUAUAUGAAAAAGAUUAUGAAGGUACAAUUUAGUCCAUUGCAUUAUAUAAAUGUAUUAGAGCAGGUCCUUAGUCUACAAUUGCACUUUAUCAUUUUUUUAAUAAUUUAUUCUAUUGUAUUAUCAAAUUAUUCCACUACAUUAUCAAUAUUUCAAAUUUAUGAUUGUUGUCAACUAGAAAUUAUAAAUAUUUGUUGCUCUGGUUAUACAGAACUAAGUAUUUUCCAUGGAAGAUCAAACAUGUUCCUGGUAAUAUUUGCAUACAUAUAUAUAAGCAAAUUCGUAAACGACCCAAAUUAUUGGUAACCUAAAAUUGUUUUAACAGGUAAAGCUGGUGGGUUGGCGCACACAGAUAAUCUAGUGCCUGUUGUACACGUUGGUCUCCUUGGAUUCCUUCUGUUCUAGGUAAUUAUUAGAAGACAGUGUAAUUAAGAAAGGUGGAAACUAGCUUGAUGAUCCAAGUACCCUUUUUAAAAGUGUCUAGAAUAAUAUUUUGAUGGAUGAUUUUUGAUUGACUGCGUGAAUGCGGCUAUAAUUUCCAACUAAUGAAUCUCAAUCCAUGGUAGAUAGCUUUGAUUUAAUUUGUUAACUGCAAGCGUGUAAUCACCUAUGGUUCUCAAUGAUGCUAGCUAUAAUUUUGAUUUAGUGCAUCCAACAAUAGUAGAAGUUAAAGAAGUAUUAUCAUGUGCCUGUUAAAUAUUUGUGUUGGUUUGUUGAUAUAUAUGAUUAAGUGUUUCAAUCAUGAUUUUAAUGUCUGAUUUUUCUCCAGAUAUUAUGAAGGAGAUUUUUUGUUUUUAGCCCGAGGCUUGUAAGUUGUGCGACUCGUCAAAUACCAGCCCUUUAUAUUCUGCUGUAAGCAAUGAUUUAACUAAAGCCCUUUAUUCAAUCUGUUGUAUGAGAUGUAUAAUAUGAAGCUUAUUCAGAUUAAUUUGGUUAUUGAUAUUUUGACUCACAUAGCUGGAUAUAUGGUUGCAUGAUUGCAAAUAUUGAUGGAGUAGCUACUACAUUUGCUGCAGGAGUAUAAAUGACAAGGUUUUAAAUGUUUUAUUAUACGAAGAAAUCAAGUUUGGAACCGUUUGAUAUUCGAUUUGAUGAGCACGCAUCGAAGGUUGCAUUUCCGCAUGGUACGAUGAUACCACCUAAUUCUUUUAAUACAAUGUACCAUUCUCUUGCGUUUUGGGCUUUGAUGCUUCUGGUGUCGGUUAGCAGGAUGGCUUCUAAUGUUUUUAGAGGUUAUUGGCGACAUAGGCUUAUUUGAGAAGUUGGGGUUAUGUUGCCGUCUAUCCUCCUAUUGUCUAUAGGUAUGGCAGAGUUUAGGCUUAUCCCUUUUCGGAGAAAGAUCUUCACGUGAGUGUCGGUAUCCUCCUAUUGUCUAUAGGUAUGGCAGAGUUUAGGCUUAUCCCUUUUCGGAGAAAGAUCUUCACGUGAACGUCGGUCGUUUAAUCAAGUAUUUGGUUUUGUGGAUAUUAAAUAAGCAUAGAUUGUUUGAAUAUUUUUUGAGAUGGGAUAAAUAUAUAUGUUAGAAUUGAUUAA